CAGCCCGACCGCUGCGCGGCGUGCCUAAUACAUGCAAGUCGAGCGGACAGAUGGGAGCUUGCUCCCUGAUGUUAGCGGCGGACGGGUGAGUAACACGUGGGUAACCUGCCUGUAAGACUGGGAUAACUCCGGGAAACCGGGGCUAAUACCGGAUGGUUGUUUGAACCGCAUGGUUCAAACAUAAAAGGUGGCUUCGGCUACCACUUACAGAUGGACCCGCGGCGCAUUAGCUAGUUGGUGACCUAACCAUCACCAAGGCAACGAUGCGUAGCCGACCUGAGAGGGUGAUCGGCCACACUGGGACUGAGACACGGCCCAGACUCCUACGGGAGGCAGCAGUAGGGAAUCUUCCUCUUCCCCGACACUCUGACCGCCAGCAUCCCCCCCUCCUCCCUCCACCUCUUCUGAUGGGAAGCUCAAUGUU
This 424-nucleotide ribosomal RNA is filed under the name Bacillus subtilis. RNAcentral describes it as "bacterial SSU rRNA". The stretch from base 18 to 384 matches the Rfam family "Bacterial small subunit ribosomal RNA", at positions 41 to 398 of the family's 1533-position model. The record is from RNAcentral. Lineage: Bacteria; Bacillati; Bacillota; Bacilli; Caryophanales; Bacillaceae.